AUUGAACGCUGGCGGCAUGCUUUACACAUGCAAGUCGAACGGUAACAGGCCGCACGGUCCUGUUUAGUGGUGGACGGGGGAGUAAGGGAUAGGAACGGGUCCAGUCCUGGGGGAUAACUAAUAGCAAGGGUAACUAAUACCGCAUACGAUCUAUGGAUGAAAGCGGGGGACCGUAAAGGCUCGCGCGAUUGUAGCUGCCGAUGUCAGAUGAGGUAGUUGGUGGGGUAAAGGCUGACCAAGCCAACGAUCUGUAGCUGGUCUGAGAGGAUGACCAGCCACACUGGAACUGAGACACGGUCCAGACUCCUACGGGAGGCAGCAGUGGGGAAUUUUGGACAAUGGGCGCAAGCCUGAUCCAGCAAUGCCGCGUGCAGGAAGAAGGCCUUCGGGUUGUAAACUGCUUUUGUACGGAAAGAAAAGGCUCUGGUUAAUACCCGGGGCUAUUGACGGUACCGUAAGAAUAAGCACCGGCUAACUACGUG
This 482-nucleotide ribosomal RNA is filed under the name uncultured bacterium. RNAcentral describes it as "partial 16S ribosomal RNA". It matches the Rfam family "Bacterial small subunit ribosomal RNA", at positions 30 to 507 of the family's 1533-position model. The record is from RNAcentral.